RNAcentral lists this long non-coding RNA (358 nucleotides) under Homo sapiens (human). RNAcentral describes it as "HSALNT0373827". The record is from RNAcentral. Lineage: Eukaryota; Metazoa; Chordata; Mammalia; Primates; Hominidae.
AUUUGGGAGAAAUACUCUUCAACCCACUAUACCUUCCAGUGCUGACUAACGUCUGUAUUUAAAUAAACUCUGCAAUUAUCUCAGAAGACUUCCAGAAAGAAACACGUGCCUGUAUACCAGUGCUAUUUAAAGGAAAAGAAUUGCAGUGAAGUAAUAGUUUGACGGCUCCUGAACUGCAGUGUAUACUCCUAGAUGAACCAAAGAUUGAUAAAUUCAAGCAAAGCAUGAGAAUUAUCAGACUAAAAAUAUGAAUGAGUUGAGAUUACAGCAGGAUUCAGAGAUAAGCAGAACUGCCAAAACUAAGCCUGGAAGAUUUAAAUUAUUAAUGAGGUCUUGAUAGAUGUAAUUUACUACAUAC